RNAcentral lists this ribosomal RNA (464 nucleotides) under uncultured bacterium. Its description in RNAcentral is "partial 16S ribosomal RNA". It matches the Rfam family "Bacterial small subunit ribosomal RNA", at positions 339 to 795 of the family's 1533-position model. The record is from RNAcentral.
CUACGGGCCGCAGCAGUGGGGAAUAUUGCACAAUGGGCGCAAGCCUGAUGCAGCCAUGCCGCGUGUAUGAAGAAGGCCUUCGGGUUGUAAAGUACUUUCAGCGGGGAGGAAGGGAGUAAAGUUAAUACCUUUGCUCAUUGACGUUACCCGCAGAAGAAGCACCGGCUAACUCCGGGCCAGCAGCCGCGGUGAAUACGGAGGGUGCAAGCGUUAUCGGAAUUACUGGGCGUAAAGCGCACGCAGGCGGUUUGUUAAGUCAGAUGUGAAAGCCCCGGGCUCAACCUGGGAACUGCAUCUGAUACUGGCAAGCUUGAGUCUCGUAGAGGGGGGUAGAAUUCCAGGUGUAGCGGUGAAAUGCGUAGAGAUCUGGAGGAAUACCGGUGGCGAAGGCGGCCCCCUGGACGAAGACUGACGCUCAGGUGCGAAAGCGUGGGGAGCAAACAGGAUUAGAUACCCUAGUAGUC